CCUACGGGUGGCUGCAGUGGGGAAUAUUGGACAAUGGGGGGAACCCUGAUCCAGCCAUGCCGCGUGUGUGAAGAAGGCCCUCGGGUUGUAAAGCACUUUCAGUGAGGAAGAACGCCUGGUGGUUAAUACCCAGCAGGAAAGACAUCACUCACAGAAGAAGCACCGGCUAACUCCGUGCCAGCAGCCGCGGUAAUACGGAGGGUGCGAGCGUUAAUCGGAAUUACUGGGCGUAAAGCGCGCGUAGGUGGCUUGAUAAGCCGGUUGUGAAAGCCCCGGGCUCAACCUGGGAACGGCAUCCGGAACUGUCAAGCUAGAGUGCAGGAGAGGAAGGUAGAAUUCCCGGUGUAGCGGUGAAAUGCGUAGAGAUCGGGAGGAAUACCAGUGGCGAAGGCGGCCUUCUGGACUGACACUGACACUGAGGUGCGAAAGCGUGGGUAGCAAACAGGAUUAGAUACCCUAGUAGUC
RNAcentral lists this ribosomal RNA (465 nucleotides) under Vreelandella stevensii. RNAcentral's name for it is "partial 16S ribosomal RNA". It matches the Rfam family "Bacterial small subunit ribosomal RNA", at positions 338 to 795 of the family's 1533-position model. Lineage: Bacteria; Pseudomonadati; Pseudomonadota; Gammaproteobacteria; Oceanospirillales; Halomonadaceae. The record is from RNAcentral.